This 917-nucleotide ribosomal RNA is filed under the name uncultured archaeon. RNAcentral's name for it is "bacterial SSU rRNA". It matches the Rfam family "Archaeal small subunit ribosomal RNA", at positions 1 to 913 of the family's 1478-position model. The record is from RNAcentral.
UUCCGGUUGAUCCUGCCGGAGGUCACUGCUAUUGGGGUCCGGCUAAGCCAUGCGAGCGGAGGGCGCGGUCGAAAGAUCGUGGCCCCGCACACGGCUCAGUAACACGUAGUCAACCUACCCUUGGGACGGGAACAACCUCGGGAAACUGAGGCUAAUUCCCGAUAGGCGAGGGACGCUGGGAUGCUUCCUCGCCCAAAGCUCCGGCGCCCAGGGAUGGGACUGCGGUCUAUCAGGCUGUUGGUGGUGUAACGGACCACCAAACCUACGACGGGUACAGGCGAUGGGAGUCGGAGCCUGGAGAUGGGGACUGAGACAAGGCCCCAGGCCCUACGGGGCGCAGCAGGCGCGAAAACUCCGCAAUGCGCGUAAGCGUGACGGGGGGACCCCAAGUGCCGUUGGUCUUUUGAUCGACGGCUUUUAGGAAGUCUAUGAAGCUUUCAGAAUAAGGGCUGGGUAAGACUGGUGCCAGCCGCCGCGGUAACACCAGCAGCCCAAGUGGUGACCACGAUUAUUGGGCCUAAAGCGCUCGUAGCCGGGUCAGCAAGUCCCUUGUGAAAUCGGGCCGCCUAACGGUUCGGCGUGCAAGGGAUACUGUUGGUCUUGAGGCCGGGAGAGGUCGGAGGUACUCCUGGGGUAGGGGUGAAAUCCUGUAAUCCUAGGGGGACCACCAGUGGCGAAGGCGUCCAACCAAAACGGCUCCGACGGUAAGGGACGAAGCCCUGGGGCGCAAACGGGAUUAGAUACCCCGGUAGUCCAGGGUGUAAACGCUGCAGGCUUGGUGUUGGGGGUCCUACGAGGGCGCCUAGUGCCGGAGAGAAGUUGUUAAGCCUGCCGCUUGGGGAGUACGUCCGCAAGGAUGAAACUUAAAGGAAUGCGGGGAGCACAGCACGGGUGGAGCGUGCGUCAUGAUCACGCGA